UAGGGAAUCUUCGGCAAUGGGGGGAACCCUGACCGAGCAACGCCGCGGGAGUGAAGAAGGUUUUCGGAUCGUAAAGCUCUGUUGUUAAGGAAGAACGAGUGUGAGAAUGGAAAGUUCAUACUGUGACGGUACUUAACCAGAAAGGGACGGCUAACUACGUGCCAGCAGCCGCGGUAAUACGUAGGUCCCGAGCGUUGUCCGGAUUUAUUGGGCGUAAAGCGAGCGCAGGCGGUUAGAUAAGUCUGAAGUUAAAGGCAGUGGCUCAACCAUUGUAGGCUUUGGAAACUGUUUAACUUGAGUGCAUAAGGGGAGAGUGGAAUUCCAUGUGUAGCGGUGAAAUGCGUAGAUAUAUGGAGGAACACCGGUGGCGAAAGCGGCUCUCUGGUCUGUACCUGACGCUGAGGCUCGAAAGCGUGGGGAGCGAACAGG
Molecule: ribosomal RNA, 429 nt
Filed under: Bacteroidota bacterium
Lineage: Bacteria; Pseudomonadati; Bacteroidota
Description: Bacteroidetes bacterium partial 16S ribosomal RNA
Rfam family: Bacterial small subunit ribosomal RNA
Source: RNAcentral